This is a long non-coding RNA of Oreochromis niloticus (Nile tilapia), 1185 nucleotides long. RefSeq lists it as uncharacterized. NCBI's taxonomy places the organism in Eukaryota, Metazoa, Chordata, Actinopteri, Cichliformes, Cichlidae. The record is from RefSeq and is a predicted model, not a curated record. The transcript is spliced from 5 exons.
UGUCUGUUCCGGUAUGACAAAAUACUCUUUUCAAAUGCAAAAGUACUUUCUGGUGGUCAAAACAGUCAUCGUGAUAUGAGUCAAAACACAAAUGUUUGUCAAAUUUUAACCUUCACUGAUCAAGGGGUAGAUAAUAGCAGCCUUAACAGGAGGCCCGGAUGUUUUGAAUGGAUCCAUUUAGCUACACUUCACAAAGCAACAAAACCUUUCAAAUGCCAAUCUCAACACAAUGCCUGUCAGUUUAAUGUGCACCUGACUGUAAUUAUGCAAAUUUAAAGUAAUUAGUCAAACAACCUGUAGCCCUAAUGAGUUUUUGCAAAAGAGUACAAGCUAAUUUUGGAUAAUGAGCCUGACACUGUGAACUAAGAUGGAAACUGAGCUUCUGUUUUUUAAGGGAUUCCCAUAACCAGUCACAACCAGCCACAGACCUCUUUCUUAACAAAUGCCUCACAAAUUAUACAAAAAUAAGAAUUUUUUAUUUCCUGCCACAAACAUUCCUUGGUGUUACUAUUUUGGAUCAGGUCAUCUGUUGACCUGGCAGCCAAAUGUCAGGGUAGAGCACACAUGUCAGCUGCAGGUGGAAACUCUCAGCACUGGGUAAUGCUGGCAGGCACAGUCGGAGAGCCUUGGGUAAUACAGCACUAAGUGACUGCAGCUGGAGUCUGGAGAAGCUGCCAGAGUUCCCAUGACUGUUUUGUGUGUCACAGGAUUUUGGGAGAAAUGUGCAUGAUUUCAUCAAUGAGUUUGAGAAGCUGCACGAGUACUUCUGCUUCCUCAAGUUGCAGCCACCAAGUUUCUGUGUGGAGGAGGACUGUGACACGAGCCUCAUGCUGCACUACCGCACAACCCGCAAGGGCUUCACCUUGUUUGUCAAAGCAGGGCAGCUCUCCUAAGUGGGACGACAAUUUUACAACACAGAUAUUGAAGUAGAAAUCCUGUCUUAGAAGGAAACUGAGAAAAUGACAUAUGUGAUCGGCUUACAUGAAAUGGGACUUGCAUCUCGCACAGAUGCAAUUAAUGGAAACAAUGUAACAAGUUUUGAAUAUGUCAUGCAUGUUUCUUCCAGAGCCAAUAGUUAUUUGAUGUGUUUGAUUAGCUUCGUGAAGAUAAAUAUCUAUCUCCUAGAUCUUGUUAUUGUGUUGCUCUUAAUUCGUUAAGAGUAUGUAAUAAAAAAAAAAACUUUCU